Long non-coding RNA from Cucumis sativus (cucumber), 1480 nucleotides. RefSeq annotates it as BURP domain protein USPL1. NCBI's taxonomy places the organism in Eukaryota, Viridiplantae, Streptophyta, Magnoliopsida, Cucurbitales, Cucurbitaceae. The transcript has 2 exons. The record is from RefSeq and is a predicted model, not a curated record.
GGCAAUAAUUCAUAUCAUCACUCCAAUUUAAUUAAUCAUUCAGUAAAAAGAAAAUCUACUCCCACUUUUAAAAAGUAGUUUACUUUUAUAUCACACCAUUUCUUCAUAUCUCAUCCCAUAUUAUUGCAUUUGAGCUAAGAGAAGUUGAAGAAAAAACACUUGAAGGGAAAAUGAUGGAGGGCAAUACAGUGGCUUGCUUCAUCUUGCUAUUUCUUCUUUUUCUUCAUAUGUUUGCUGAAGGAAGAAUUGAAUCUUCCAUGAGCGAAAUUGUUGUGAAGAGGAAACAAAUUGAAACGAAUGAUUCUAAUGAAGCGACAUCAAGUAUAGUACAAAAUCCCAUCAUAAAAAUGGUGACCACAAUUAGAGAUAACAUACAAACUUCCCAAGAUGAUGAAUUUCCAAUGAAGAACAAUAAUAAGCAUAAUGAUCACUCUUCUUCUUCUUCAUCUCAUAUGAAUCACAAUAUAAACCCUUUACUCAUGGUUUUCUUCACAAUCAAUGACCUAAAAGUUGGGAAAAAGCUCUCAAUUUAUUUCCCUAAAAGAGACCCUUCAAAAUCCCCUCCAUUUUUACCAAAAGAAAAAGCUGAUCAAAUCUCUUUCUCCUUCAAACAACUCCCGCAAAUCCUGUCUUCUUUCCAUUUCCCUUCAAAUUCCCCUCAAGCUCAAGCAGUCAAAGAAACCCUCCAACAAUGUGAGUUGAAACCCAUCAAAGGAGAGACCAAAUUUUGUGCAACUUCAAUGGAAUCAAUGUUGGAUUUUGUAAGAACAUCCUUAAUAAUUCCUACAAAAUCUUCUCCAUUAUCAUCAUCAUUCAAACUUCUCAAAACUUCACAUCUCACAAAAUCCAAUGUCCAUUUACAAAAUUACACAAUCUUUGAUACUCCAGAGUUAAUUUCAGCUCCUAAGCUCGUGGCUUGUCACACUAUGCCCUAUCCUUAUGCUAUUUAUUAUUGUCAUUACCAAGAAGGAGAUAAUAAUGUAUUGAAAAUUGCCUUGGAAGGUGAAAAUGGAGAUAGAGUUGAUGCUUUGGCAAUUUGUCAUAUGGAUACCUCUCAAUGGAGCCCAACACAUCCUUCCUUUCAAGUCCUUAAACUUCAACCAGGAGACAUGCCCAUUUGUCAUUUCUUUCCUGCUGAUGAUUUUGUUUGGAUUCCAGCUCCUUAAAGCCCUAAUAAUUAUAUAUGCUGUAAUAUUUCAAUUUCUCUUUUUAAUUUCAAAAAAAAAAAAAAGUGAUAAUAUAUAUAAUAGGAUAUAUGUAAAGUUAGUUGUGAAGAGAUGAGAGUAGGAGAUCAGAGGUUUGAAUACUCCUAUCCUAUCUCAUGUUUGUUUUGAGUUAGGUAAAUAUAAAAUAAAAGUAUGAUGGGUGUGUUCAUAUGAUCAUGUAAUAGCAUGUUUAUAACAUGUAUGGGUGUAGAUCUAUGAUUAUUAUGUAAUAAUGUAUUAAUAUUAUAAUGUAAUAUUAGCAUAAAUUUUGGUAA